Dromaius novaehollandiae (emu) is the source of this 4497-nucleotide long non-coding RNA. RefSeq lists it as uncharacterized. The record is from RefSeq and is a predicted model, not a curated record. The transcript is spliced from 3 exons. NCBI's taxonomy places the organism in Eukaryota, Metazoa, Chordata, Aves, Casuariiformes, Dromaiidae.
AGAACUAUGGAAUCAAAAUGCAGAAUUAUGAGGCAAACAGCUUGUAGCGAGGAGCUUCAAGAAAGAGAGGCAAAACUGAACAGAGAUCCAAGAUGAAGCUGAGACCCAAGAAAACACUUAAACUUGUGCUUGAGUUCAGUAGGAGGAAGAGUGCACCUCUGGUAUUGUGGUAAUGCCACUAUGUGCCCUCCAGAAAAUGUGAGGUGUUUCACUCCAUUAAACCUCCCACUCUUGCGAUGCCGUAUUGCUCUCUUCCCAUGCAGACAAACCAGAGCACAGAGCCUGGCUCCGUGACCACUCGCUACAGGGAAGGAGUCCUGCUCGCCGUGGUGGGAAUCAGGGCAGGAAUGCAGUACUGGAAGAUCCAGGAGCACAGUUGAAGGACUUCGCCAAAAAACGACAGGAGAGCAUGCAGAGGAAGAGGUGAGAGAAGGACAUACUGCCCUUAACAGCAGUGCCUGUUCACUUUGAGCAGACAAUUUAUAUUUGGUCACUGGAUAAUUUAUAUUUGGCCACUGGAUGGCUCAGGUAUUUUUCUGUAGAUGGCACCCAGUGCAAUGCAGCCUUUCUCUGCAGCAGUGCCUAGGCUAGCCGUGAGGAUGCGUUUUCUCACGUCACCGCCCCUUUCUCCCGCUAAUACCAGGCUGUCCACACUCAGACAUGUUCACACAAGCAAGAAAUAUCCAAACACAAAAAAACGGUGUUUGUACUUGAUCACGGUGGAUUUCAGUCUUGUGUUGUUACAGAAAUCAUUGGGCUCUCAGUGACACAAAAGCGGGUUGAUAUAAUAGGGGAUGGAUGAGGUUGCAUUCAGUGUUUACCCAGCUUUUAGACUUGCGCACAUUCCUCAAAGCAAACACAGCAAGAGGGUUUAAAUUUCUGGUGCUGUGGUCAGAUGUUACUCAAGAACGAGGAGGAAGUUAAAAAAUAACUGGAGCGAACCUACAUACUGCUUAAAAUGCAUUCGUCCCAGCUGCCGAAGCCGCAGCAAGGAGGCUGGGUUUCGGGGCAGGCCCGGUCCUUGCCGACCUCGGGGCACAGCGGGGUCAGGGGCGCCACCGCACCCUGCUUGGUUUUGGCUUCGGGCAGGUGCCGGCGGUGCAAAUCGGGCCUGGGCGGGCCAUGGGGCGCCCCACGGGGCCACACCGGUCCUUCGGCCCAGCGGCCGGGACCCAGCAGGGAGCCUGCAGCCCGCUGGAGGGGGGCCGCCCCCGGGCCCCGCCGCCUCCAAACCAAAGGGGCCCUUGGCCACCGUGCAGGAAACGUGGCUUCCCAGCGGCGUUGCCAUGGCAACGGGGAAGCAGGCCCGCUUUCCUGGCAACGGCGCUGAAGGAGCAGCUCAUGCGUGGGUGCGCCAGGCAGCCCUGCGCCACACACCCUCACUAUAACCACCGAUAUGCAGCCAUAUAUAUAUAUGUGUGUGUAUAUAUGUAUUUGGAGGGAGGUAGAAAGCCCUUACAGAACCUGUUUGAGGAAGUAACCCGAACGGCUCUUGCCAACCGGAGGACGGAGAAGCCAGCUCAGGCAGGAGGGUCCUGGCUCUCCCGAGCGGCGUGGCGGUCGCCGUGCAAACACAGCCGCCUCCGGCCCCGUGCCGCGAGGCGCCUCCUGAGGAGCGGGCAGCCCUGCGGGGAAAGGGCGGCGGUGCCUCGGCCGCAUGGCCUGCGCGGGUGCCCAUGGGCCCGGGAUGCUCCAGGAGGCUGGAUCGCUGCCAGGACUCUUCUGAUUCAGGAUACGCUGCAUCGCGAAGCCCAAGGUGGUAUUUAUCCCCCUUUCUUCAGGGGAUAAAUUAGAGGUGUGAUUAAUUUUUCAUUUCUACCAGCAUAAACCAAGAGCAUCCUGUUGACGUCAUCAGAAUUUCACUGGUAUAAAACUCUCCAGCUUUUUUGGCCCCGAAAUCAGUACCAACCGUUGCAAUUCCUAUUGAAUACUGUUCACCUCAGCUAAAACUUUUGACUAAGGGCAGCCUGUUUUCAUUGUUUCCAAACCACAUGCCAUGGGAUUAUGGACCGCUUGCAAAUGUGAGAACCACUAAAACAAAGCCAUUAAAUGUGAAAGAAGGUCACCUGGUCCUAUUAUAACAGUAACCAAUACUACACAAACUAGACUAAUUUAAAUUUAGAAAAGUAGCAAUUGUAUACAUUGCAAAAUAAAAGCUCUCUCUUUUUGAAGCUCACCUUAUUUUCCAAGAUAAUUUUAUUACAGCAUACUUCUGAAAUAUGUUCACUGAAAUAUAGGGUUCUGCCAGGUAAAAAUCUGCAGCUGUUUCCGUUUCCAGAGGAAGAAAUCAGAUUGGCAAAAUGGAAUUAUUCAAACUGGAGUUUGGCCAGAGUGAUAAAAAAAGAUCAGGUGGCAAAAUGUGAGAAGAAUUCAGCAAAAAGAAGAAAAGAUAUUUAAGGAAAAUGAAGCUUCUUUUGCCUAGCUCACUGCAUUUUGCUUGUCCGAUGAUGCUGACGUCUCAGACUGUAAGAGGUACCUACGUGCUCAUGGGAUCCCCCUCACUGCAAAGUGAAUGUGGGGCAGCGGGAUCCCACUGUUCUGGCCUUAUAUCCGAACAUCCUUGGUCUCACUAUAUCACGGAUGCUUGCUUAGUGUUAUAAUUAAGGCAGAGUCUCUUCUGUGGGAGUGUGCGAAGUAACAUGCAAAUAUGUCAGUUCAUAUUUAGACUACUACUAAAAUUCAUUUUGCAUGCCCUUGUGAUCAUUUGCACUAGUCAUUGGUUAUUUCUUCCACGCAUCUAAGCAGCGCUUGUCACUUCACUGGCUGCUCUGUUUCCCAUGCAGGAUCAGGUGCGGAUUUGGCUUUUAUAGCAGGAUUGCCAAAGAAUAGGACAGCGAGCAUCCUUUUCUGUGCUCUCCCGUCACUCACCCCACUUCCCCAUGGGCGUAGUGCUCCUACACCUAAAACCUCAAAGUGGUGUUCAGCUUAGGAGCUUGAUCUGCGGCUUUCAGGGCUGAAAGGUGGUGCUGCCUUUUUAGACUGCAUCACCCAAAAUGUGGGAAUUGUCUGACAAGUAUUUCUGCAAUUCCAGGUUCACCAUGCCACAUGCUUAUCUUGCCAGCAACGGAAGCCAUGGAUGUGUGCACUGAGCAAACCCUUACUUGCCCAGGAGACGCCACGAGGAACCUCUCUGGGCUCCUUGCAGCAGAAGCAGAGAUGGGCACUGAGACCCAGCAGGGAUCUGGACAGCCCUGAGGGGGGAUGUGGGGAGUCUGCAGGGCUGCAAGGGGAUACCUGCUAAUGCACUGGACUGAUGGAUAAGUAAGGGCAGGAAGGGUGGGGGCAUAGAGUUCAGAGGUCAGAUCCAGCCCAAAAUAUAGCCAUAUAAAAGCAACAUGACCCCAGUGAUUUUGGAAGCAAUCAUUAUUUGCAUCUGAAUCAUGACUUAUAAUUUUUUUUAUAUUGACUUUUAUUAUUACCUGGGGCAAAAUAUGCUUUGCUUUCAUUGUGCUGAGCUCCCAUUGCAGAGUUCAAGGCCACAUUUAGCUUAAUACUUAGCUGUUUUUCUCUGGAGUUUGGCAUCACGUUAUGUACAGAAUGAUCUAAAUUUACUGAAGCUUUAUCACCUGCUUCAGAAAAAAACACCUCCUUUUUCUCACUGAAUCUUGAAGUUAAGGAGCAGUGAACUCCAAAGAGCCAGAGCAAGCUGAGCACAGUUGAGACUCAUGUAAUCAAUAUGUUGAUGUGUCUAAUAAUAAUUCAAAAAUAUUGUUAUGUCAGUUACUGUUUCCUGCAGAGUUUUAUUUUUAAUUUAAUGCUGUAGAGCACAUAGCCUAAACUCUUUCAUAGAUUUACUUUGACUCUUUCUCUUCUGGGUUUCCAAUUUUGCUUUGAUACAAUCUUUUAAAUUGUAAAAUAUUUAACAUGGGGAGGGUGAAAACAUUUUAAUCAUUCAGAUUUCUAUUAAGAGUCUUUAAAUCACAAACCUAAUGCACAUUUCCUUGCUUGGAAAACCUGUUUGUGACCACCCAGACUGUCUGCAGCAGUCUGAGAGCAGCUCACUAUGUCCCAAAGCGCCUUGCUGUCUAGCCAAACUGCCGAAGUCCUGGACCUGCAAAGAUAAUGGAACAGGAUAGGACCAUGACAUAAAAGGCAGGAGGGGCCUGGGUUAUAUCAAAUACCUUAGGUUAUUCCCGGCUUCAUUCUGGACAGGCAACAAUGAAAUCUGGUUUUGUGACUUUUUAACCUCUGAAGUACUGUGAGCCUGAAAAAUGACUGAUGAGAACAAGGAAGUGGAAUUGAGCAGUCCAGUUUUGUUUUUUAGAUAUAGUGAAAAAAUACACCAAGGUAAACAAGGAAGCAGUAUAUAUAGCUAAGCUUGUUAAGGUAACUGUAAAACAUACCUAAACCUGUACCCUGCGGAAUUUAUGAUCUAAAAGCAUUCAAACUAAAUCAGAUGUUUAAAUCUUGUGGACUUGAUCUGGGGUAUUUAAGGGACAAUGAUUUAUGUGAUAUCUGUGUGUGAAAAAUAUAAAUUCCCUUUUAAUAGUCCAAUGA